Molecule: transfer RNA, 71 nt
Filed under: Metschnikowia hawaiiensis
Lineage: Eukaryota; Fungi; Ascomycota; Pichiomycetes; Serinales; Metschnikowiaceae
Also listed under: 1 other name
Description: tRNA-Ile
Rfam family: tRNA
About the family: Transfer RNA (tRNA) molecules are approximately 80 nucleotides in length. Their secondary structure includes four short double-helical elements and three loops (D, anti-codon, and T loops).
Source: RNAcentral
UAGUUUAUAUCUCAAUGGUAGAGAGAUUGAUUGAUAAUCGAUAAAUAUGAGUUCGAUUCUCAUUAAACUAA